This is an RNA transcript of Cervus elaphus (red deer), 861 nucleotides long. It is a transcript of the gene named transmembrane protein 141, with no coding region annotated. The transcript has 5 exons. Lineage: Eukaryota; Metazoa; Chordata; Mammalia; Artiodactyla; Cervidae. The record is from RefSeq and is a predicted model, not a curated record.
CCCCGCACAGGCCCCGCCCCUCCCCAUCCGGCCCCGCCCUCCGCCGGCCUGGUGUAGGUCAGCCAGCCGGUUCCCCGCGCCGCGCCAGCCAUGGUGAACCUGGGCCUGUCCCGGGUGGACGACGCCGUGGCCAGCAAGCACCCGGGACUAGGUGAAUACGCCGCGUGCCAGUCGAACGCUUUCGUGAAGGGCGUUUCCACCUUUGUCACAGGUACCGGUGCGACCUUCGGCCUGCAGAUGCUGGUCCAGAGGAGGCUUCCAUUCCCCUUUCAGUGGAAGGUGCUGGUGGCUGUGGGUGGGUACUCCAGCCUGCGACCCCUGAAAUGCACCCCAGUUGCCGCUGGCUCUUCAGCAGAAUCGCAGGCUCAGUGGCCAGCUACUGGGUGACCCGCGUAGAGUCGCAGAAAUGCAGCAACCUCUGGCUCUUCCUGGAGACAGGGCAGCUCCCCAGAGACAUGCACACAGAUCGGCGUAGCUAGGAGUGCUCCAGCCGGGGCACCGGAGACCUGGGGCCAGACAGGUCUAGAACACAGCCCUCGGCACCUCUGUACCCCAGGUUGGCCCUCCCCACACCCGUGGCCCCCGCACACAGGCAUGACCAGGUCUGUUGAACCUGUGCAGACUGCUCCUGCCCAGCCUGACCGCCCGGGAGCUCAAGCCAGGAGCCUCCGUUCCUGGGGUGGCUGUCCUCCUGCAGGUGGACACAGCAUGCCUUUGGGGGCAGCCCUGGAGCAGGGAGGGGCUUCUGUACUCUGCCACUGCCACUCCCUUUCUGGCCCCUGCAUCCCCCACCCACGCCAGUCAGAGACGAUGUUCCCCCCGGGGGCUGGGGAACUAAUAAACACCUUGUCCUGUUUCCCA